Molecule: ribosomal RNA, 3101 nt
Filed under: marine metagenome
Description: bacterial LSU rRNA
Rfam family: Bacterial large subunit ribosomal RNA
Source: RNAcentral
AGUAGCGGCGAGCGAAAUCGGAACAGCCUAAACCGACGUACGUGUCAACCGAGAUGGGGUUUGCGUACGCGGUGUCGCGGGAUACCCUGUCCCUACCACUCUGCGGGGAAGGGUUUGAUAAACUGGAAGUCUAGUAAAACGGUCUUGAAAGGCCGGCCAUAGAGGGUGAUAGCCCCGUAUGCGAAAGGUUUCCAGUUCCCUUUAGGAAUGUCCCAAGUACCGCCUGCCACGGGAAAACAGGCGCGAAUCUGGCGCGACCAUGCGCUAAGGCUAAAUACUCCUCGGAGACCGAUAGUGAACUAAGUAGCGCGAGCGAAAGGUGAAAAGCACCCCGAGAGGGGAGUGAAAAGAUCUGAAACCAUUUACCUACAAACAGUGGGAGCUUCGCAGGUUCGCCUGCGGGGUGACCUCGUGCCUUUUGCAUAAUGAGUCCGGGAGUUAAUGGUUGGCGCUUGCCUAAGGUGUUCUGCACCGGAGGCGGAGCGAAAGCGAGUCUUAAUAGGGCGACUAUGUGCUAAUCAGUAGACCCGAAUGCCGGUGAUCUACGCAUGUGCAGACUGAACCCUGAGUAACAUCAGGGGAAGGGUCGAACCAGUACUGGAUGAAAACAGUUUGGAUGACGUGUGUGUAGGAGCAAAAGACUAGUCAAACUGGCCGAUAGCUGGUUCUCCCCGAAAUAGCUUUAGGGCUAGCCUCGGGUAACUACGUUGCGGGGGUAGAGAGACUGAAUCGGUCUUGGGGGGCUACCCGCCUACCCUGCCGAACCAAACUCCGAAUACCGUAACGACUAUCCCGGGAGUCAGACUGUGGGGGAUAAGCUUCGCAGUCGAAAGGGAAACAGCCCAGACCGCCGGCUAAGGUCCCAAAAUCAGUGCUAAGUGUAUAAGGAAGUUGGAGGGCUAUGACAGCCAGGAUGUUGGCUUAGAAGCAGCCAUCAUUUAAAAAGUGCGUAACAGCUUACUGGUCGAGCCUUUCUGCGCCGAAAAUGAUCGGGCCUCAAGCACAGUGCCGAAGCCGCGGAUUUAUCUGUUUCGUUGAAGCAAAUAAGUGGUAGGGGAGCGUACCAAACAGCGCCGAAGUCAAUCUGAAAAGAUUGGUGGAGCGUUUGGCAGUGAUUAUCCGGACUUGAGUAGCGAUAAAACGGGUGAGAAGCCCGUUCGCCGUAAGCCUAAGGAUUCCUGGGCAACGUAAAUCGGCCCAGGGUUAGCCGGUCCCUAAGACGAGGCCAAAAGGCGUAGUCGAUGGGAAUGACGUUAAUAUUCGUCAGCCACCUAUGGAAGGUUUGUACUGCAUGGGGGGGUGCGGAAGGCUAGAGGAACCGUGCGGUUAGAAAUGCACGGCCUGGUUGUAGGUGGGUUUCCUAGGAAAAUCCGGGAGACCAUUCAACACUGAGGUACCAGGCGAUCCGGGUGUAUGCUCGGAGUAGUCCUUGACGCCAAACCGACAAGAAAAGCCUCGGCAGGACGACCAUGGGUGACCGUACUAAAACAGACACAUGUAGGCGAGGAGAGUAUCCUAAGGCGCUCCAGAGAAACCAGCUGAAGGAACUAAACAAACUAGCCCCGUAACCUAGGGAUAAGGGGUGCUUCUCUCUGUGUAAGGACUUGCUCCUGAAGCAGAAUGGGAAGUCACAGCAAAGCGGGCUGGGGAACUGUUUAUCAAAAACACAAGUCUGCGCAAACUCAAGUAAGAGGACGUAUGCAGACUGACGCUUGCCCAGUGCUGGAAGGUUAAGGGGUGGGGUUAGCCGUAAGGCGAAGCUCCUAACCGAAGCCCCAGUGAAAGGCGGCCCUAACUAUGAGGGUCAACCAAGAAGCUACCGCCCUUCCCCGUCGUAUGGGAAGCGGUGAGGGCCCUCGAUAAACCUGGCUGUAUGCUGGAAAACCCGUGUAUCCUCCACUACUUGCCGCAAGGUGAGUGACAAUGUGCGAGGUGCGGACAAUCAGCAGGAAACCUGAAAGGGGAUCCUCAGAGACUGUACGCCGGGAAUCAGUGCAACAAACAGUUCACACCCAGGGUUAGAAGUUUAGUUUUUAAGUAAUCCAAGUAAGUUAUUCGACCGUCUCUAUCCGACCUAAGCACAUGAUUAAGAGCCAGUCCGAUCCCCACGGCGACGUGGGUCCGAAGUACGUGCCUAAGGUAGCGAAGUUCCUUGUCGGGUAAGUUCCGACGCGCAUGAAUAGCGUAAUCACUUGGCCAUUGUCUCCAGCUGGUCCUGGGCGAAAUAGCAACAGCGGUGAAGAUACCGCUUACCCGCCAUAAGACGGAAAGACCCCGUGAACCUUUACUGCAGCCCUAGUAUUGAAUUUUGGUUAAACAUGCGUAGGCUAGGUGGGAGACUUUGAAGCUUCUCCUCCGGGAGGAGUGGAGUCACAAGGUGAAAUACCACUCUUGUUUAAUUAGGAUCCUAACCCCGUACCGUGAACCCGGGCGGGGGACCGUGCUAGGCGGGCAGUUUAUCUGGGGCGGAUUCCUCCUAAAGAGUAGCGGAGGAGUUCCAAGGCACCCUCAACACGGUUGGCAAUCGUGUGACGAGCGCAAGGGUAUAUGGGUGCUUAACUGCGAGACCGAUCAAGUCAAGCAGAUGUGAAAGCAGGACCUAGUGAUCCGGUGGUCCCGAAUGGAAGGGCCAUCGCUCAUCGGACAAAAGGUACUCCGGGGAUAACAGGCUUAUCGCCUCCAAGAGUCCAUAUCGACGAGGCGGUUUGGCACCUCGAUGUCGGCUCAUCGCAUCCUGGGGCUGUAGAAGGUCCCAAGGGUUCGGCUGUUCGCCGAUCAAUAGCGGUACGUGAGCUGGGUUCAGACCGGCGUGAGCCAGGUCGGUCCCUAUCUAUGGUGGGCGCAGGAGAUUUGAGAGGACCUGCUCUUAGUACGAGAGGAUCAGAGUGGACGUCCCUCUGGUGCGGCUGUUAUCCCGCUAGGGGUACACGCAGCGUAGCUAUGGACGGACGAGAUAACCGCUGAAGGCAUCUAAGCGGGAAGCUCACCUCAAGAUGAGAUCUCCCUGAAGGCCACUCGAAGACCACGAGUUCGAUAGGCCGGGUGUGUAAGGGUUGUGAGGCCCUCAGCUAACCGGUACUAAUCGGCCGUUCGGCUUAUCC